GUCGAACGAGCGAGAGAGAGCUUGCUUUCUCGAGCGAGUGGCGAACGGGUGAGUAACGCGUGAGGAACCUGCCUCAAAGAGGGGGACAACAGUUGGAAACGACUGCUAAUACCGCAUAAGCCCACGACCCGGCAUCGGGUAGAGGGAAAAGGAGCAAUCCGCUUUGAGAUGGCCUCGCGUCCGAUUAGCUAGUUGGUGAGGUAACGGCCCACCAAGGCGACGAUCGGUAGCCGGACUGAGAGGUUGAACGGCCACAUUGGGACUGAGACACGGCCCAGACUCCUACGGGAGGCAGCAGUGGGGAAUAUUGCACAAUGGGGGAAACCCUGAUGCAGCGACGCCGCGUGGAGGAAGAAGGUCUUCGGAUUGUAAACUCCUGUUGUUGAGGAAGAUAAUGACGGUACUCAACAAGGAAGUGACGG
RNAcentral lists this ribosomal RNA (422 nucleotides) under uncultured bacterium. Its description in RNAcentral is "bacterial SSU rRNA". It matches the Rfam family "Bacterial small subunit ribosomal RNA", at positions 61 to 496 of the family's 1533-position model. The record is from RNAcentral.